Non-coding RNA from Macaca mulatta (Rhesus monkey), 383 nucleotides. The record is from RefSeq and is a predicted model, not a curated record. Lineage: Eukaryota; Metazoa; Chordata; Mammalia; Primates; Cercopithecidae.
CUUCACUUACCAGCCCUCCCAGGGGCUGAAAUCAGCAUGAGGAAGGGACACUAUUCACUCCAGGUUUACAUUUAAAAAUGGGUUUAUAGUCCACCUCUAUGUAUUUUUCCAGACGCCGUUUGCUAUGGCUGCAGCAAGACCAAUGGCAACAGCUAAAACGUUAAGAAAAAUUUCACGUCACUGAAGCUGUGGCAAGUUGGGGAAGAGGACAGGUUGGGGACACAACGAAGGAAGGACUGUUUCUCAUCUAUCAACCACCCUUUGGCAACUCAGCCAAGGCCUUGCUCCCAGCUAAUGGUGGACUGUUUCCCUGGACAAGACUUCUAUUGAUAGCUACAGCACUGCCUGUUGGAAAUAAUAAAUAAAAGACAGAAGGUUUCACA